AUGAUGAAUACCCUUUAAUAUUAGUUUAUGGUUAGAUAACUGAUCAAUCGUGUGGAAUACUCUAGGGCGGUCUGAUUU
Molecule: small nucleolar RNA, 78 nt
Filed under: Mayetiola destructor (Hessian fly)
Lineage: Eukaryota; Metazoa; Arthropoda; Insecta; Diptera; Cecidomyiidae
Description: small nucleolar RNA U43
Rfam family: Small nucleolar RNA U43
Source: RNAcentral